GGUGCCAGAACCCCAUCUAGCCUCAGAGCUCCAUCUCAGAACAGGACCCAGCCAGAUGGAGCAGGAACUUGUGCAAUUGGCCAACAGCUCCCCUGUUGACCUUCUCUGUGCUCCUGUUCCUUCAUGCCUGCCAUCCCCUCAGCUAAGACCAGAUCCUGUCAUCCUGCAGCCCACUGAUCUCAUUCAGUUUGAGGAACACCCUCAGGAGCCUUUGGGAGUUUUAUUUUUAAACCAAGAAGAAAAAACAGAAAUUCCAAUACCAGUAAAGAAGGGGAACCUGUCCUGUAACUCCUCACCCAGUAGCCCAGCAUCUGCUUCUGCUCCUCCCAAACCCUCCUCAGAAGCCCCCGGGCUACUGAUUAGCAAGGAUGCAGUGGAAAGCCCAGCAAAAAAGCAGCCCAAAAAUAGAGUCAAAUUGGCAGCCAACUUUUCUUUUGCACCUGUGACCAAGCUCUAACUUCCAGUUUGAACACAGAAUUAAAUUAGGAUGGGGGGAAAACUGUCUGAUUCUACACACAAAAAUAGGCUUAAAAACCUUAUUUCAUGUCUUGACCCCAGAAGCCACUUUUAUUAAUGGUCCAUAGGGAAAUGUUUGUUUCCAACUUUCAGAUGAACUUUUUCUUACUUUAUUUCUUCCAGUUAUUUGAAAGAACUCCAUUAAGGAAUCUGUAUUAUAUUUACCAAAUUUUUCUAGACUAUUGUGAAUUGUGGUGGUUGGGAAGAAAUAAGCAGAGAUCGUUCAGCAGGAAGUGGAUUGAGUCCCAUUGAGCAGCCUCCAUCAUUUGUUUAAGCAAAUGUAUUUGUGGUUGUUCAAGAAGCCAAACAUGUCCUUAAACCUGUGGGUCACACACUGGGGCAUGAUUGAGUGGCAAGAGAGCCAUUUUCCGGUUGACAGGAAAGUUCCUGGCUUC
RNAcentral lists this long non-coding RNA (911 nucleotides) under Rattus norvegicus (Norway rat). RNAcentral describes it as "long non-coding RNA NONRATT003968". The record is from RNAcentral. Lineage: Eukaryota; Metazoa; Chordata; Mammalia; Rodentia; Muridae.